ACAGAGCGUAGUUUAAUUUAGAAUUCUAGCUUUGGGAGCUAGUGGUAGGAGUUAAAAUCCCCUCGUUCUGA
Molecule: transfer RNA, 71 nt
Filed under: Neoscopelus microchir
Lineage: Eukaryota; Metazoa; Chordata; Actinopteri; Myctophiformes; Neoscopelidae
Description: tRNA-Pro
Rfam family: tRNA
About the family: Transfer RNA (tRNA) molecules are approximately 80 nucleotides in length. Their secondary structure includes four short double-helical elements and three loops (D, anti-codon, and T loops).
Source: RNAcentral